Molecule: ribosomal RNA, 253 nt
Filed under: uncultured bacterium
Lineage: Bacteria
Description: partial 16S ribosomal RNA
Rfam family: Bacterial small subunit ribosomal RNA
Source: RNAcentral
UACGAAGGGGGCUAGCGUUGCUCGGAAUCACUGGGCGUAAAGCGCACGUAGGCGGAUUGCUAAGUCAGGGGUGAAAUCCUGGAGCUCAACUCCAGAACUGCCUUUGAUACUGGCGAUCUUGAGUCCGGGAGAGGUGAGUGGAACUGCGAGUGUAGAGGUGAAAUUCGUAGAUAUUCGCAAGAACACCAGUGGCGAAGGCGGCUCACUGGCCCGAUACUGACGCUGAGGCGCGAAAGCUAGGGGAGCAAACGGG